Molecule: ribosomal RNA, 724 nt
Filed under: uncultured bacterium
Lineage: Bacteria
Description: bacterial SSU rRNA
Rfam family: Bacterial small subunit ribosomal RNA
Source: RNAcentral
GAUGAACGCUGACACCAUGUUUAGCACAUGCAAGUCUACUUGAUCCUUCGGGUGAUGGUGUCGGACGGGUGAGUAACGCGUAAAGAACUUGCCCUGCAGUCUGGGACAACAUUUGGAAACGAAUGCUAAUACCGGAUAUUAUGUGAGUUUCGCAUGAAAUUCAUAUGAAAGCUAUAUGCGCUGCAGGAGAGCUUUGCGUCCUAUUAGCUAGUUGGUGAGGUAACGGCUCACCAAGGCGAUGAUAGGUAGCCGGCCUGAGAGGGUGAACGGCCACAAGGGGACUGAGACACGGCCCUUACUCCUACGGGAGGCAGCAGUGGGGAAUAUUGGACAAUGGACCAAAAGUCUGAUCCAGCAAUUCUGUGUGCACGAUGAAGUUUUUCGGAAUGUAAAGUGCUUUCAGUUGGGACGAAGUAAGUGACGGUACCAACAGAAGAAGCGACGGCUAAAUACGUGCCAGCAGCCGCGGUAAUACGUAUGUCGCAAGCGUUAUCCGGAUUUAUUGGGCGUAAAGCGCGUCUAGGCGGUUUGGUAAGUCUGAUGUGAAAAUGCGGGGCUCAACUCCGUAUUGCGUUGGAAACUGCCAAACUAGAGUACUGGAGAGGUGGGCGGAACUACAAGUGUAGAGGUGAAAUUCGUAGAUAUUUGUAGGAAUGCCGAUGGGGAAGCCAGCCCACUGGACAGAUACUGACGCUAAAGCGCGAAAGCGUGGGUAGCAAACAGG